GACGAACGCUGGCGGCGUGCUUAACACAUGCAAGUCGAACGGAAAGGCCCUGCUUUUGUGGGGUGCUCGAGUGGCGAACGGGUGAGUAACACGUGAGUAACCUGCCCUUGACUUUGGGAUAACUUCAGGAAACUGGGGCUAAUACCGGAUAGGAGCUCCUGCUGCAUGGUGGGGGUUGGAAAGUUUCGGCGGUUGGGGAUGGACUCGCGGCUUAUCAGCUUGUUGGUGGGGUAGUGGCUUACCAAGGCUUUGACGGGUAGCCGGCCUGAGAGGGUGACCGGCGACAAUGGGACUGAGAUACGGACCAGAGUCCAACGGGAGGCAGCAGUGGGGAAUAUUGCACAAUGGGCGGAAGUCUGAUGCAGCAACGCCGCGUGCGGGAUGACGGCCUUCGGGUUGUAAACCGCUUUCGCCUGUGACGAAGCGUGAGUGACGGUAAUGGGUAAAGAAGCACCGGCUAACUACGUG
RNAcentral lists this ribosomal RNA (468 nucleotides) under uncultured bacterium. RNAcentral describes it as "partial 16S ribosomal RNA". It matches the Rfam family "Bacterial small subunit ribosomal RNA", at positions 28 to 507 of the family's 1533-position model. The record is from RNAcentral.